AACGAACGCUGGCGGCAUGCCUAACACAUGCAAGUCGAACGAGACCUUCGGGUCUAGUGGCGCACGGGUGCGUAACGCGUGGGAACCUGCCCUUAGGUUCGGAAUAACUCCCCGAAAGGGGUGCUAAUACCGGAUAAUGUCUUCGGACCAAAGAUUUAUCGCCUUUGGAUGGGCCCGCGUUGGAUUAGCUAGUUAGUAGGGUAAAAGCCUACCAAGGCGACGAUCCAUAGCUGGUCUGAGAGGAUGAUCAGCCACACUGGGACUGAGACACGGCCCAGACUCCUACGGGAGGCAGCAGUGGGGAAUAUUGGACAAUGGGCGAAAGCCUGAUCCAGCAAUGCCGCGUGAGUGAUGAAGGCCUUAGGGUUGUAAAGCUCUUUUAACCGGGAUGAUAAUGACAGUACCGGGAGAAUAAGCUCCGGCUAACUCCGUG
Molecule: ribosomal RNA, 433 nt
Filed under: uncultured bacterium
Lineage: Bacteria
Description: partial 16S ribosomal RNA
Rfam family: Bacterial small subunit ribosomal RNA
Source: RNAcentral